Long non-coding RNA from Ceratitis capitata (Mediterranean fruit fly), 387 nucleotides. RefSeq lists it as uncharacterized. The transcript is spliced from 3 exons. Lineage: Eukaryota; Metazoa; Arthropoda; Insecta; Diptera; Tephritidae. The record is from RefSeq and is a predicted model, not a curated record.
GGAAAUUUGAAAAACUUCAAACCAUCCUUUGAACAGUUGAGCAACGAACGAGUAUCGGUUGCUCACUGUACUCGAUACCCAGGGAUCUGGACAUUUGCCAUUUGCACCGGAUGUACCAAAUAAUCAACGAGUUCCACCGCCGACGCAUUUGUUGCAGCGACGCGACGCGACGCCACCACCGACGCAUUAGUCACGUAUGCCGAUAUACAUAUAUAUAUAUAUACACUUCAGUUAACCGCUUCAAUUGAUGGCUGAGCACAGACGCGUGGGUGUUAUUUUCAUGGAGGAAAAUCAAAGUAGUAGCACUGACUAACGUACAGAAGAGUCGCCGUGGAGUGAUAACAGCGGAAGUGCUUAAUAUUACAGAAAAAAGACGAUAGAGAAGCC